Non-coding RNA from Ciona savignyi (Pacific transparent sea squirt), 73 nucleotides. Lineage: Eukaryota; Metazoa; Chordata; Ascidiacea; Phlebobranchia; Cionidae. The record is from Rfam.
GCCCGGUUAGCUCAGCCUGUAGAGCGUUGGACUUUUAAUCCAAAGGCCAAGGUUUCAAGUCCCUUAUCGGGCU